GGGGAUGCUCAGGUUUCGACUGCGACAGUUGAUUCGAAUUUUGCAUGCCGUGAUUAAUGUACUCACGUAAAUAAGGCAUUAAAACAAUAAGUGCAAACAAUAAUUACGCACUAGCAGCUUAAUAAAGCAGCCGCUAAGUUGAAUAUUUAUCUAUGGGUUGAUACUUAGUGCCAAACAAAUUACAUAGUUCGCUUUUAUAAGUGCCAUUUGAGCUUUCAAAGUGUAAUUUCAAAUUAGUUAUAUUGUUUUUCUUCUUUUCUUAUAUCAAUAUAGCGAACCUUUAAAGAAAAGAUAAGCAUGUAGACGAGUUGGGAGCGCUUCGUAGGACGCGGGUUCGAUUCCCGCCAUCUCCAU
This 354-nucleotide transfer-messenger RNA is filed under the name fish gut metagenome. It matches the Rfam family "transfer-messenger RNA". From Rfam's summary of the family: Bacterial tmRNA, also known as 10Sa RNA or SsrA, is named for its dual tRNA and mRNA-like properties. The record is from RNAcentral.